This is a long non-coding RNA of Sinocyclocheilus rhinocerous, 379 nucleotides long. RefSeq lists it as uncharacterized. Lineage: Eukaryota; Metazoa; Chordata; Actinopteri; Cypriniformes; Cyprinidae. The transcript is spliced from 2 exons. The record is from RefSeq and is a predicted model, not a curated record.
AGGCAUUUUCCGGGUAGAGGGCGGUGUUGAGUUGACGCAAAUUGUGCAUUUCAUUUCGAGAUCAUAAAUGGGGAAAUUCUGCACAUGCUGAAAUAAAUACCGACUCAUCUCGCGGAAAAAAUUGUGCAAAACGGGACCUUUAUGUAGUCAAGCGUCCCUAAAUGCAGCCAUAAAAACCACAAGCACCAGAAUCCUUUGCGGUUCAGGAAGCGAGAAGUGCAUCGAGACAGCUGCAUCGGUCCAUGCGGAGGAUUUCUUGAAGCACGUAGACUUCAGGGAGAAAAUGUCAGCAAGAAGUCCAACAACAAACAGUAUGGACCACACAGAAAUCUGAUCUCCCCAUCAGAGUCCAACAGGGAUUACAUGAAGAAAAAAAAAA